AACGAACGCUGGCGGCAUGCCUAACACAUGCAAGUCGAACGAGACCUUCGGGUCUAGUGGCGCACGGGUGCGUAACGCGUGGGAACCUGCCCUUAGGUUCGGAAUAACUCCCCGAAAGGGGUGCUAAUACCGGAUAAUGUCUUCGGACCAAAGAUUUAUCGCCUUUGGAUGGGCCCGCGUUGGAUUAGCUAGUUGGUAGGGUAAAAGCCUACCAAGGCGACGAUCCAUAGCUGGUCUGAGAGGAUGAUCAGCCACACUGGGACUGAGACACGGCCCAGACUCCUACGGGAGGCAGCAGCGGGGAAUAUUGGACAAUGGGCGAAAGCCUGAUCCAGCAAUGCCGCGUGAGUGAUGAAGGCCUUAGGGUUGUAAAGCUCUUUUACCCGGGAUGAUAAUGACAGUAACGGGAGAAUAAGCUCCGGCUAACUCCGUG
RNAcentral lists this ribosomal RNA (433 nucleotides) under uncultured bacterium. Its description in RNAcentral is "partial 16S ribosomal RNA". It matches the Rfam family "Bacterial small subunit ribosomal RNA", at positions 29 to 507 of the family's 1533-position model. The record is from RNAcentral.